Molecule: ribosomal RNA, 502 nt
Filed under: uncultured Glomeromycotina
Lineage: Eukaryota; Fungi; Glomeromycota
Description: partial small subunit ribosomal RNA
Rfam family: Eukaryotic small subunit ribosomal RNA
Source: RNAcentral
CCAAUAGCGUAUAUUAAAGUUGUUGCAGUUAAAAAGCUCGUAGUUGAACUUCGGGGUUUACCCAUUGGUCAGGCUUAAUUGUCUGUACUGGUGAGAUGAAUCUCUACCUUCUGAGGAACUUUCAUGCCAUUUAUUUGGUGUGAUGGGAAGUCAGGACUGUUACUUUGAAAAAAUUAGAGUGUUUAAAGCAGGCUAACGUCUGAAUACAUUAGCAUGGAAUAAUGAAAUAGGACGGACUGAUUCUAUUUCGUUGGUUUCUAGGAUCACCGUAAUGAUUAAUAGGGAUAGUUGGGGGCAUUAGUAUUCAAUUGUCAGAGGUGAAAUUCUUGGAUUUAUUGAAGACUAACUACUGCGAAAGCAUUUGCCAAGGAUGUUUUCAUUAAUCAAGAACGAAAGUUAGGGGAUCGAAGACGAUCAGAUACCGUCGUAGUCUUAACCAUAAACUAUGCCGACUAGGGAUCGGAUGAUGUUAAUUUUUUAAUGACUCAUUCGGCGCCUUACG